GAUGAACGCUGGCGGUAUGCUUAACACAUGCAAGUCGAACGGUCUCUUCGGAGAUAGUGGCGGACGGGUGAGUAACGCGUGAGAAUCUGGCUCUAGGUCUGGGACAACCAUUGGAAACGGUGGCUAAUACUGGAUGUGCCUAAAGGUGAAAGAUUAAUUGCCUGGAGAUGAGCUCGCGUCUGAUUAGCUAGUUGGUAAGGUAAGAGCUUACCAAGGCGACGAUCAGUAGCUGGUCUGAGAGGACGAUCAGCCACACUGGGACUGAGACAC
RNAcentral lists this ribosomal RNA (270 nucleotides) under Rhizonema sp. 'cyanobiont of Dictyonema sp.'. RNAcentral describes it as "partial 16S ribosomal RNA". It matches the Rfam family "Bacterial small subunit ribosomal RNA", at positions 28 to 327 of the family's 1533-position model. Lineage: Bacteria; Bacillati; Cyanobacteriota; Cyanophyceae; Nostocales; Rhizonemataceae. The record is from RNAcentral.